Molecule: transfer RNA, 94 nt
Filed under: Rhodocollybia butyracea
Lineage: Eukaryota; Fungi; Basidiomycota; Agaricomycetes; Agaricales; Omphalotaceae
Rfam family: tRNA
About the family: Transfer RNA (tRNA) molecules are approximately 80 nucleotides in length. Their secondary structure includes four short double-helical elements and three loops (D, anti-codon, and T loops).
Source: Rfam by way of RNAcentral
GCCCAUAUAGUCAAGUGGAUACGAUGCCUCGGAAUAAUUCGAUGGUCCCAAGGAUUUUUCCGGAGAAGCGGGGGUUCGAAUCCCUCUAUGAGUA